GUUGUGAGAAGGAAUAGACACCUUCCCUCAUCUCCAGGACAGGAGCCAGGUGGACCACUACGCUGAGCUCCAUUGCCAAGUUAACCGAAGGUGGAGGAGGAGGAAACGGGAGCGAGAGCGGGAGCAGGAGAGAUCUCUCACUGAUCAAGGUCACCGCCGCUCAAGAUCUCUCGGGAAAGAUAAAGAAGACACACGGGUGGUGCCUCUAGGUCCGAGGUUCCUCUACAGAACUAAGGUUUCAGGAGCCAGAUGAGGGCGGCUGCAGAAGGCUGGUGAUGUCUGCACACCAAAGGUCCUGAGAGCUCUGCUUUCGGAUCCUUGGCAAUCAUUUACUAUUAAAAGGUGGUUGAGAGAGAAGGGUAACUGCUGCUGGGG
RNAcentral lists this long non-coding RNA (375 nucleotides) under Vombatus ursinus (common wombat). RNAcentral's name for it is "lncRNA (ENSVURG00010007486.1)". The record is from RNAcentral. Lineage: Eukaryota; Metazoa; Chordata; Mammalia; Diprotodontia; Vombatidae.